CAAUAAGAGAAAUCAAGUACUCAUCUUUGGUUUACAAAACCAAUGCUCUACUUAAGCUAUUAUUGC
Molecule: transfer RNA, 66 nt
Filed under: Glaphyrina caudata
Lineage: Eukaryota; Metazoa; Mollusca; Gastropoda; Neogastropoda; Fasciolariidae
Description: tRNA-Thr
Source: RNAcentral